Molecule: ribosomal RNA, 262 nt
Filed under: uncultured bacterium
Lineage: Bacteria
Description: partial 16S ribosomal RNA
Rfam family: Bacterial small subunit ribosomal RNA
Source: RNAcentral
GUCCACGCUGUAAACGAUGAUUACUAGAUGUUGGAGGGGGAACCCUUCGGUAUCGAAGCUAACGCGAUAAGUAAUCCGCCUGGGAAGUACGGCCGCAAGGUUGAAACUCAAAGAAAUUGACGGGGGCCCGCACAAGCGGUGGAGCAUGUGGUUUAAUUCGAUGCAACGCGAAGAACCUUACCUACCCUUGACAUCCUAGGAAUCCUGUAGAGAUAUGGGAGUGCCGAAAGGAACCUGGAGACAGGUGCUGCAUGGCUGUCGU